GAGUUUGAUCCUGGCUCAGAUUGAACGCUGGCGUCAUGCCUUACACAUGCAAGUCGAACGGUAACAGGUCUUUCGGGAUGCUGACGAGUGGCGAACGGGUGAGUAAUACAUCGGAACGUGCCCAGUAAUGGGGGAUAGCUCGGCGAAAGCCGGAUUAAUACCGCAUACGCCCUGAGGGGGAAAGUGGGGGACCGCAAGGCCUCACGUUAUUGGAGCGGCCGAUGGCUGAUUAGCUAGUUGGUAGGGUAAAGGCCUACCAAGGCGACGAUCAGUAGCUGGUCUGAGAGGAUGAUCAGCCUCACUGGAACUGAGACACGGUCCAGACACCUACGGGUGGCAGCAGUCGAGAAUCAUUCACAAUGGGCGCAAGCCUGAUGGUGCGACGCCGCGUGGGGGAUGAAGGGCUUCGGUUCGUAAACCCCUGUCAUCUGUGAGUAAGACUCCCAAUAAAAGCUUGGGAGGUUGAUAUUAGCAGAAGAGGAAGGGACGGCUAACUCUGUGCCAGCAGCCGCGGUAAUACAGAGGUCCCAAGCGUUGUUCGGAUUUACUGGGCGUAAAGAGUGCGUAGGCGGCUAGAAAAGUUUGGUGUGAAAUCUUCGGGCUUAACCCGGAAACUGCACUGAAAACUAUCUGGCUAGAGGAUCGGAGAGGAGAUUGGAAUUCUCGGUGUAGCAGUGAAAUGCGUAGAUAUCGAGAGGAACACCAGUUGCGAAGGCGGAUCUCUGGACGGUUUCUGACGCUGAGGCACGAAAGCUGGGGUAGCGAAGAGGAUUAGAUACCCUCGUAGUCCCAGCCGUAAACGGUGCACACUUGCUGUGGGCGGAUUCGACCCCGUCCGUGGCGAAGCUAACGCGAUAAGUGUGCCGCCUGGGGAGUACGGUCGCAAGAUUAAAACUCAAAGAAAUUGACGGGGGCCUGCACAAGCGGUGGAGUAUGUGGCUUAAUUCGAUGCAACGCGAAGAACCUUACCUGGCCUUGACAUGUAGUGGCCCGGGUGCGAAAUCACCCUUUUCUUCGGAACUGCUACACAGGUGCUGCAUGGCUGUCGUCAGCUCGUGUCGUGAGGUGUUGGGUUAAGUCCCGCAACGAGCGCAACCCCCGUGUUCUGUUGCCACCCGGUUAAAUCGAGCACUCUGGACAGACUGCCGGUUUCAACUAGGAGGAAGGUGGGGAUGACGUCAAGUCAGUAUGGCCCUUACGGCCAGGGCUGCACACGUACUACAAUGCCUGAUAUAAUGGGAAGCAAGACCGCGAGGUGGAGCAAAUCCUCAAAAUCAGGCCCAGUUCAGAUUGUAGGCUGCAACUCGCCUACAUGAAGGAGGAAUCGCUAGUAAUGCCGUAUCAGCUACGACGGCGUGAAUACGUUCCCAGGCCUUGUACACACCGCCCGUCACAUCAUGAAAGUCGAUUGUACCCGAAGUCACUGAGUUAACUUGCAAAAGAGACAGGUGCCGAAGGUAUGGUUGGUAAUUGGGAUGAAGUCGUAACAAGGUAACC
This 1497-nucleotide ribosomal RNA is filed under the name uncultured bacterium. Its description in RNAcentral is "bacterial SSU rRNA". It matches the Rfam family "Bacterial small subunit ribosomal RNA". The record is from RNAcentral.